Molecule: transfer RNA, 65 nt
Filed under: Rhagophthalmus ohbai
Lineage: Eukaryota; Metazoa; Arthropoda; Insecta; Coleoptera; Rhagophthalmidae
Description: tRNA-Tyr
Source: RNAcentral
AGUAAAAUGGCUGAAUUUAGGCAAUAAAUUGUAAAUUUAUUUAUGAAGUUAAUCUUCUUUUACUA